CCUACGGGAGGCAGCAGUGAGGAAUAUUGGUCAAUGGGCGCGAGCCUGAACCAGCCAAGUCGCGUGAGGGAUGACGGUCCUACGGAUUGUAAACCUCUUUUGCCGGGGAGCAAGCGUGCGUUCGUGAACGCGCGUCGAGAUUACCCGUAGAAAAAGCAUCGGCAAACUCCUGGCCAGCAGCCGCGGUAAUACGGAGGAUGCGAGGGUUAUCCGGAUUUAUUGGUUUUAAGGGGUGCGUGGGCGGGAUGCCAAGUCAGCGGUAAAAAUGCGGUGCUCAACGCCGACGAGCAGUUGAAACUGGCGUUCUUGAGUGGACGAGAGGUAUGCGGAAUGCGUGGUGUAGCGGUGAAAUGCAUAGAUAUCACGAAGAACCCCGAUUGCGAAGGCAGCAUACCGGCGCCCUACUGACGCUGAGGCACGAAAGCGUGGGUAUCGAACAGGAUUAGAUACCCGGGUAGUC
RNAcentral lists this ribosomal RNA (460 nucleotides) under uncultured bacterium. RNAcentral's name for it is "partial 16S ribosomal RNA". It matches the Rfam family "Bacterial small subunit ribosomal RNA", at positions 338 to 795 of the family's 1533-position model. The record is from RNAcentral.